AUUGCCUUAGUAACGGCGAGUGAAGCGGCAAAAGCUCAAAUUUGAAAUCUGGCGUCUUCGACGUCCGAGUUGUAAUUUGAAGAAGGCAACUUUGUAGCUGGUCCUUGUCUAUGUUCCUUGGAACAGGACGUCAUAGAGGGUGAGAAUCCCGUGUGGCGAGGAUCCCAGUUAUUUGUAAAGUGCUUUCGACGAGUCGAGUUGUUUGGGAAUGCAGCUCUAAGUGGGUGGUAAAUUCCAUCUAAAGCUAAAUAUUGGCGAGAGACCGAUAGCGAACAAGUACAGUGAUGGAAAGAUGAAAAGAACUUUGAAAAGAGAGUGAAAAAGUACGUGAAAUUGUUGAAAGGGAAGGGCAUUUGAUCAGACAUGGCGUUUGCUUCGGCUUUCGCUGGGCCAGCAUCAGUUUUAGCGGUUGGAUAAAUCCUCGGGAAUGUGGCUCUGCUUCGGUAGAGUGUUAUAGCCCGUGGGAAUACAGCCAGCUGGGACUGAGGAUUGCGACUUUUGUCAAGGAUGCUGGCGUAAUGGUUAAAUGCCGCCCGUCUUGAAACACGGACCAAGGAGUCUAACGUCUAUGCGAGUGUUUGGGUGUAAAACCCGUACGCGUAAUGAAAGUGAACGUAGGUGAGGGCCCGCAAGGGUGCAUCAUCGACCGAUCCUGAUGUCUUCGGAUGGAUUUGAGUAAGAGCAUAGCUGUUGGGACCCGAAAGAUGGUGAACUAUGCCUGAAUAGGGUGAAGCCAGAGGAAACUCUGGUGGAGGCUCGUAGCGGUUCUGACGUGCAAAUCGAUCGUCGAAUUUGGGUAUAGGGGCG
This 807-nucleotide ribosomal RNA is filed under the name Kluyveromyces marxianus. RNAcentral describes it as "LSU rRNA". It matches the Rfam family "Eukaryotic large subunit ribosomal RNA", at positions 74 to 925 of the family's 3401-position model. The record is from RNAcentral. Lineage: Eukaryota; Fungi; Ascomycota; Saccharomycetes; Saccharomycetales; Saccharomycetaceae.